CCUUUAGCAAAGCGGAGGAACGUUGGUGGUGCGGAGGGACUGGUGGUCCAGCGCAAUUCGCUAGAUUUGAGAGCGAGAAAAGGCUCUCCACUGCAUUUUCCAUGCAUUCAAUCAUCAAAUUGUAGUUCGUUUCAAUUGAUUUCUGCUGAAAUUUAAAAAAUUAAUAAACAUUUCUAAAAAUAAAAGUAAACUUCAAGCUACAGACAGUUUGACUUGAAUGGCUUCAGCUGGAGCUAAGUAGGCUUACAGUGGGUGAAUCAAAGGGAUAAAGACACUGCAAUUUUCAGCUUCAUACCAAAGGAUAGACAAAGCACGACAGCAUGUUGCUAACUAAUUGUUCAAUCGAACUGAAAGGAAAAGUUGCAGGACAAAUAGCUCACUAAAGAAUCCCAUGUUGAGGACCUUUCCAGGCACGCUUUAUUCAACAGAGCUUUCAGGUUUUCAGUUU
Molecule: long non-coding RNA, 448 nt
Filed under: Malus domestica (apple)
Lineage: Eukaryota; Viridiplantae; Streptophyta; Magnoliopsida; Rosales; Rosaceae
Description: long non-coding RNA (MDOM_LNC011688)
Source: RNAcentral